RNA transcript from Solanum dulcamara, 1557 nucleotides. It is a transcript of the gene named nuclear pore complex protein NUP54, with no coding region annotated. Lineage: Eukaryota; Viridiplantae; Streptophyta; Magnoliopsida; Solanales; Solanaceae. The record is from RefSeq and is a predicted model, not a curated record. The transcript is spliced from 10 exons.
UUUUUUGACUAGUGAAAAGAGAGUAACGACGGCAUCCCUAAUUCCAAAAGAAAAUGGCGGUAAUGCGUUGAAAUUAACUGAGUCUUCUCCAUAAGCUAACCUAGGGUUUGGCCUUUUUCACCAUCUCCACCACUGCAACAAUGUUCGGAGCUCAGCCCUCCUCCUCCGCCUUCGGUACUCCCUCUUCCACCCCAUCAUUCUGCACACCUUCGUCAACCCCUGCAUUCGGCACACCUUUGUCAACCCCAGCAUUCGGCACUCCGUCAACUUCAUCUUUUGGCACGGAUUUUGGAUCGACACUAUUUUCAACACCAUUUUCACAGCAGUCACAGCCACAGCAACAGCAACAAACUUCCUUAUUUCAAACACCUCAGAGUUCGGCCCCGUUCAGCUUUUCCACACCCUUGAGUACUGCUACGCAGGCCCAAUCCAGUCCAUUUGGUCAACCUAAUUUAAGUCCUGCCUUUCCAUUUGCAAAUGCUCAGUUGACUACUCAGAUGGCUCCCGUGGCUCCACUCCCCUUUUCUCUCGCUGAUAGGGAUAUACAAGCAAUUGUUGAUGCAUACAAGGAGGAGCCUGGUAACCCUAAGUAUGCUUUCAAGCAUCUUUUGUUCAGUGUGAUGGAACCUCAAUAUAGGACGAAACCUGCAGGUGUAUCUGAUAUUAUGUGGGCUGAGGCAAUGGGCAAACUUGAAGGCAUGGAAAGUACUGACCGUGAGCGCCUGUGGCCUCAACUUGUUCACGGCUUCAAGGAUCUCUCCGAACGGCUCAAGCUUCAAGAUAAAGUCAUAGUGUCAGAUGCUGAAAGGCUGCAAAUGACACAAAGCAAUGUGAAAAUGCUGCAAAGGCAUUUCCAAGCUGAUACCCUUCCUUGGAUUGAAAGAAUGAGACACAAAGAGCAAGGUCUUCAAAGACGCCUUUUGAGGGUGAUGAGAAUACUAGAGGCACUUGAAGGUAAAGGUUGUCGAUUGCCUUUGAUGAAAGGAGAAGCUGAAUUGGCGGAGAAGUUGACAGCCAUCAUGAGACAGUUGAAAGGUUCUGGAGCAGAACUUUCUAGGAGGGUUCAGAAUCUGCUCACCAUAUGUCGUGUUCAAAAUGGCCUUGGAGUUGGUUCUGUUUAUCUCUUUGGUUCAACUAAAAUCCAUGAGCAGAGUCUUGCUGACAUGCAGGAGGAAAAGUUUCAGGACUUCCUCCACGGACACCUUCACGAUCCGUGGAGGUCACUACGGUACGUUCCUUGGUCGUGAAGAUGAUCUUGACAGGAGGCUUGCAGAGGGGCUCACCAUGGAGGCCGUAAUGGACCGUGGUCCGCACUGUGGCUUGUGGUGGCCUCUCAUGGUUUCCACCUUAGAAACACAAAUGGCUGGCAUGGGCCACGAUGGACCUUCACGGCCCGUGGUCCUCUUCACGGCCCGUAGUGGGUCUCGUGAAGGCCAUCUGGUGCCAAAAGCUGCAAUUUUUCUGGUUUUGCAACAGCAAACUGAGGCUAUUGCUAGGCUUGGUAAUGUAUUGAAGCGAAAUAUCCGAGAUGUGGAGAUCAUAAUGGCCGAGGAAGUG